GCGUCGUCAACUCACCUGCAGCCCGGCUCGCUGCGAGCGGGAAACCGCUUUCGUCUUCGCCUUGCCGGAGUCUUUACCCGCUUUGCCGCCAGCCUGUCGGAGAGAACAGCAAAAAUAAUAUAAAAACCAGCAGGAAUAAAUAUUGGACCCAGGAUGCUGGGCAGAACUCCCCAGCUUUUCUUCAAAAUGGUGCCCUGGGAUCUUUUACAUCCACCUGAAGGUCAGCUCAUCAAGAAGACUGAUGCCUUACUCCUGGGAUGCACCUUAAAACCUGCCUCUUUAACCAAGCUUUUGGUCAUCUGUUUGAAUGGCCCAAACCUUUGGAUCAGCGUCGGCACUGCUGCAUCUGACGCUAAUCAAACAGAAAAUUGCACACUUACCGGGACAUAUUUAAAAAGAUCAAACUUCUGAUGCAGCACCCAGAAGAAAUUCUUCAGCACAGGAAUCCAUGGAAAAACAAGAUGACGAUCAGUGCAGAGAAGAUGCCCCCUUUUCUACCUCAGAGUUGGAAGGAAUCGCACAGGGUCCCGGGCGGCUGGGAAUCAACCCUCAGGAAAUUUAAACUUCCAGGCAACUCCCAUGUAGGACCAUGUGUUAGGACUUCUGCGGGGUCUGCACAUACAUCUUCCAUCAUAUGGUUAGUCUCUGAUAAUCAUGAGACCAGAAGAUAUGGGCCAUUGUCUCCUUAUGUAACACUGAGUCAAAUUUUGUCUCAUAAUGCUCCUGUGACGUGCCUUGGGAUAUUUUACGACAUUAAAGGUGCUUUAUAAAUGCUAA
Long non-coding RNA from Carcharodon carcharias (great white shark), 777 nucleotides. RefSeq lists it as uncharacterized. NCBI's taxonomy places the organism in Eukaryota, Metazoa, Chordata, Chondrichthyes, Lamniformes, Lamnidae. The record is from RefSeq and is a predicted model, not a curated record. The transcript is spliced from 3 exons.